AGGAAAUAAUAGUACAAUAUGAAAUGAUAAUCAAAUAAGAUCCUAAUAAUCUGCUACUACAACAAAUCAGGGAUUUCACCAAGGGAAAAUGACUCUCUUUUGCUGUUGAUAUCCACCUAUGUGAGCUUAGCAAAACUUAGUUGGUUCCAAGCCUGUAUAAAGGAGAAGAGUUGCAGUAGGUUGAUGGCUAGUAUAUUAGUUAUUUCUCAUAAUAUGGAUCCUUAU
RNAcentral lists this unclassified non-coding RNA (225 nucleotides) under Hevea brasiliensis (rubber tree). The record is from RNAcentral. Lineage: Eukaryota; Viridiplantae; Streptophyta; Magnoliopsida; Malpighiales; Euphorbiaceae.